UACGUAGGGUGCAAGCGUUGUCCGGAAUUAUUGGGCGUAAAGAGCUCGUAGGCGGUCUGUCGCGUCUGCUGUGAAAACCUAGGGCUUAACUCUGGGCGUGCAGUGGGUACGGGCAGGCUAGAGUGCGGUAGGGGAGACUGGAAUUCCUGGUGUAGCGGUGAAAUGCGCAGAUAUCAGGAGGAACACCGGUGGCGAAGGCGGGUCUCUGGGCCGAUACUGACGCUGAGGAGCGAAAGCGUGGGGAGCGAACAGG
Molecule: ribosomal RNA, 253 nt
Filed under: uncultured bacterium
Lineage: Bacteria
Description: partial 16S ribosomal RNA
Rfam family: Bacterial small subunit ribosomal RNA
Source: RNAcentral